GACGAACGCUGGCGGCGUGCUUAACACAUGCAAGUCGAGCGGUAAGGCCCUUUCGGGGGUACACGAGCGGCGAACGGGUGAGUAACACGUGGGUGACCUGCCCUCAGCUCUGGGAUAAGCCUGGGAAACUGGGUCUAAUACCGGAUAUGACUCCAUGACGCAUGUUGUGGGGUGGAAAGCCUUGUGCGGCUGAGGAUGGGCCCGCGGCCUAUCAGCUUGUUGGUGGGGUGAUGGCCUACCAAGGCGACGACGGGUAGCCGGCCUGAGAGGGCGACCGGCCACACUGGGACUGAGACACGGCCCAGACUCCUACGGGAAGCAGCAGUGGGGAAUCUUGCGCAAUGGGCGAAAGCCUGACGCAGCGACGCCGCGUGAGGGAUGACGGCCU
This 388-nucleotide ribosomal RNA is filed under the name uncultured bacterium. Its description in RNAcentral is "bacterial SSU rRNA". It matches the Rfam family "Bacterial small subunit ribosomal RNA", at positions 28 to 417 of the family's 1533-position model. The record is from RNAcentral.